This 640-nucleotide ribosomal RNA is filed under the name Alphaproteobacteria bacterium. Its description in RNAcentral is "bacterial SSU rRNA". It matches the Rfam family "Bacterial small subunit ribosomal RNA", at positions 46 to 732 of the family's 1533-position model. Lineage: Bacteria; Pseudomonadati; Pseudomonadota; Alphaproteobacteria. The record is from RNAcentral.
GCUUAACACAUGCAAGUCGAACGAGACCUUCGGGUCUAGUGGCGCACGGGUGCGUAACGCGUGGGAACCUGCCCUUAGGUUCGGAAUAACUCAGAGAAAUUUGAGCUAAUACCGGAUAAUGUCUUCGGACCAAAGAUUUAUCGCCUUUGGAUGGGCCCGCGUAAGAUUAGGUAGUUGGUGGGGUAAAGGCCUACCAAGCCGACGAUCUUUAGCUGGUCUGGGAGGAUGAUCAGCCACACUGGGACUGAGACACGGCCCAGACUCCUACGGGAGGCAGCAGUGGGGAAUAUUGGACAAUGGGCGAAAGCCUGAUCCAGCAAUGCCGCGUGAGUGAUGAAGGCCUUAGGGUUGUAAAGCUCUUUUACCAGGGAUGAUAAUGACAGUACCUGGAGAAUAAGCUCCGGCUAACUCCGUGCCAGCAGCCGCGGUAAUACGGAGGGAGCUAGCGUUGUUCGGAAUUACUGGGCGUAAAGCGCGCGUAGGCGGCUUUUUAAGUCAGGGGUGAAAUCCCGGGGCUCAACCCCGGAACUGCCCUUGAAACUGGAAAGCUAGAAUCUUGGAGAGGCGAGUGGAAUUCCGAGUGUAGAGGUGAAAUUCGUAGAUAUUCGGAAGAACACCAGUGGCGAAGGCGACUCGCUGG